UGGCGACCGGCGCACGGGUGAGUAACGCGUAUCCAACCUUCCCUUUACUCUGGUAUAGCCCAGCGAAAGUUGGAUUAAUACCGGAUGUUAUCGAAAGCUCUCAUGAGACUUUGAUCAAAGAUUUUAUCGGUAAAGGAUGGGGAUGCGUCUGAUUAGGCAGUUGGCGGGGUAACGGCCCACCAAACCUACGAUCAGUAGGGGUUCUGAGAGGAAGGUCCCCCACAUUGGAACUGAGACACGGUCCAAACUCC
Molecule: ribosomal RNA, 251 nt
Filed under: uncultured Prevotella sp.
Lineage: Bacteria; Pseudomonadati; Bacteroidota; Bacteroidia; Bacteroidales; Prevotellaceae
Description: partial 16S ribosomal RNA
Rfam family: Bacterial small subunit ribosomal RNA
Source: RNAcentral